Monodelphis domestica (gray short-tailed opossum) is the source of this 731-nucleotide long non-coding RNA. RefSeq lists it as uncharacterized. The record is from RefSeq and is a predicted model, not a curated record. Lineage: Eukaryota; Metazoa; Chordata; Mammalia; Didelphimorphia; Didelphidae.
UAAUUGACUGACUGCCCCCUGGGCAGUCCUAAGCAAAAUUUUAGCUGUAAUUGAUACAUGUAAAAUGGAAGGAAGGCACAGAAAGUGACAAAAAGAAAUGGUCUUUAAAAAUGCCAAGAACUUCCUGUGAAGGGGUCUUUUGUCUUCAACUUCACCUUGGAGGAGGUCUAACUGAGGAUCUCGGACUGCUUCUGUUUUCCUUAGAACUACCAUGUAGGGGAUUCAGUGACAGUUCUGACAGAUGCCACCCCUGAAAAAUUGGAAGGCUCCAGAACAGAAGGGACCAAGGAUAGAAGAAAGUGUGGGGAAGAGAUACAAUACUUACCAAAAGUCAAAUUGGAACCACCAAGAGAAGUACCCCUGGACAACCCAUCACAAAGGACACACAUAUCCAGCACUGUGAGACAUUCUCCUACAUUUUUUUAAAUCUAGACAAAUUGGAGAACAGAUGAGAAGCUGCAGAUUGCAACCGUGAGUUCAGGCAGAACUCCAAAGGUAAUGAAUUGCAAAAACGACCAUCUUGAACUUUGAGCACUCUCUCCCUUCCCUGCUGUAGCUGCUCUGUUUAGACAGCUGUCAUGCCCUGGUUGACUCUCAGAGACUGCAAGGUGACAGAUAUAUGCUGGUACCAUCGAAUUUCAUGCUUUUAAUGGGAGACCGAAUCCAUUUUCUUCAGACGGGUACCCUUAAAUUGUACACCUCUCAGCGUGAAUAAACUCCUCUCAGCAAGA